GAAAGUUUAUUUUGAUUCUUCAUUGUAAGAGCUUCCCCCUAUCUUAAUCCUUUCGUACUAAAAAUAGGCCAUAAAAUUUGAGGAUAGAAACCAACCUGGCUUACGCCGGUCUGAACUCAGAUCAUGUAAGAAAUCAAAAGUCGAACAGACUUUCCAACAAAACUUCUGCACCUUGCUAAUUUCUUAAUCCAACAUCGAGGUCGCAAACCUUUU
This 213-nucleotide ribosomal RNA is filed under the name Daphnia pulex (common water flea). Its description in RNAcentral is "partial large subunit ribosomal RNA". Lineage: Eukaryota; Metazoa; Arthropoda; Branchiopoda; Diplostraca; Daphniidae. The record is from RNAcentral.